Small RNA from Clostridiales bacterium CHKCI001, 73 nucleotides. It matches the Rfam family "RAGATH-18 RNA". Rfam says of the family: Actinobacteria, Firmicutes, Fusobacteria, Thermotogae (1 example). The record is from Rfam. NCBI's taxonomy places the organism in Bacteria, Bacillati, Bacillota, Clostridia, Eubacteriales.
ACUGUGGAGUGUACAAAAACUUGUGAGUAGUGUGUUGCCUGCAACCACCAAAACAUACACAGCGAAGCAGUAA